Molecule: ribosomal RNA, 456 nt
Filed under: Terrahaemophilus aromaticivorans
Lineage: Bacteria; Pseudomonadati; Pseudomonadota; Gammaproteobacteria; Pasteurellales; Pasteurellaceae
Description: bacterial SSU rRNA
Rfam family: Bacterial small subunit ribosomal RNA
Source: RNAcentral
AUUGAGCGCUGGCGGCAGGCUUAACACAUGCAAGUCGAACGGUAACAUAAAGAAGCUUGCUUCUUUGAUGACGAGUGGCGGACGGGUGAGUAAUGCUUGGGAAUCUAGCUUAUGGAGGGGGAUAACUACGGGAAACUGUAGCUAAUACCGCGUAGAAUCGAGAGAUGAAAGUGUGGGACCUUCGGGCCACAUGCCAUAGGAUGAGCCCAAGUGGGAUUAGGUAGUUGGUGAGGUAAAGGCUCACCAAGCCGACGAUCUCUAGCUGGUCUGAGAGGAUGACCAGCCACACUGGGACUGAGACACGGCCCAGACUCCUACGGGGGGCAGCAGUGGGGAAUAUUGCGCAAUGGGGGCAACCCUGACGCAGCCAUGCCGCGUGAAUGAAGAAGGCCUUCGGGUUGUAAAGUUCUUUCGGUAGCGAGGAAGGCAUUUAGUUUAAUAGACUAGGUGAUUGAC